Molecule: ribosomal RNA, 475 nt
Filed under: uncultured bacterium
Lineage: Bacteria
Description: SSU rRNA
Rfam family: Bacterial small subunit ribosomal RNA
Source: RNAcentral
AGGAUAAACGCUGGCGGCGUGCAUUAGACAUGCAAGUCGAACGGACUUUUCAGGGCUUGCUCUGAAAAGUUAGUGGCGGACGGCUGAGUAACGCGUAGGUGACCUACCCCGAAGUGGGGAAUAACUGCCCGAAAGGGUGGCUAAUACCGCAUGUGAUCGUUUGUUCAUUCGAACGAUCAAAGCAGCAAUGCGCUUCGGGAGGGGCCUGCGUCCGAUUAGCUCGUUGGUAGGGUAAUGGCUCACCAAGGCGACGAUCGGUAGGUGGUCUGAGAGGACGAUCACCCAGACUGGGACUGAGACACGGCCCAGACUCCUACGGGAGGCAGCAGUCGGGAAUUUUUGCUCAAUGGGCGCAAGCCUGAAGCAGCAACGCCGCGUGAGGGAUGAAGGCCUUCGGGUUGUAACCUCUUUUAUCAGGGAAGAUUAUGACGGUACCUGAUGAAUAAGCCACGGCUAACUACGUGCCAGCAGCCGC